Molecule: ribosomal RNA, 649 nt
Filed under: uncultured bacterium
Lineage: Bacteria
Description: bacterial SSU rRNA
Rfam family: Bacterial small subunit ribosomal RNA
Source: RNAcentral
AGAGUUUGAUCCUGGCUCAGAUUGAACGUUGGCGGCAGGCUUAACCCAUGCAAGUCGAACGAGAAAGCACCUUCGGGUGUGAGUAAAGUGGCGGACGGGUGAGUAACGCGUAGGAAUCUACCCAGUAGUAGGGGACAACUCGAGGAAACUCGAGCUAAUACCGUAUACGUUCCUGGUAACAGGAAGAAAGAGGGCCACUAUUUAUAAGCUCUCGCUAUUGGAGGAGCCUGCGUUGGAUUAGCUAGUUGGUGAGGUAACGGCUCACCAAGGCUACGAUCUAUAGCUGGUCUGAGAGGACGAUCAGCCACACUGGAACUGAGACACGGUCCAGACUCCUACGGGAGGCAGCAGGGGGGAAUCUUGGUCAAUGGGGGCAACCCUGAACCAGCCAUGCCGCGUGUGUGAAGAAGGCCUUCGGGUUGUAAAGCACUUUCAGUAGCGAAGAAAAGCUUAGGGUUAAUACCCCUGGGUCUUGACGUUAACUACAGAAGAAGGACCGGCUAACUCCGUGCCAGCAGCCGCGGUAAUACGGAGGGUCCGAACGUUAAUCGGAAUUACUGAGCGUAAAGCGCGCGUAGGCGGUGCGGUAAGUGGGAUGUGAAAGCCCCGGGCUUAACCUGGGAAUUGCAUUCCAAACUGCCGGACUAGA